GGGGUUGUGGCUCAGAGGUAGAGCACUCGCCUAAAGUGUGUGAGGCACUGGGUUCAAUCCUCAGCACCACA
This 71-nucleotide transfer RNA is filed under the name Marmota monax (woodchuck). RNAcentral describes it as "tRNA.Phe". It matches the Rfam family "tRNA". Rfam says of the family: Transfer RNA (tRNA) molecules are approximately 80 nucleotides in length. Their secondary structure includes four short double-helical elements and three loops (D, anti-codon, and T loops). Lineage: Eukaryota; Metazoa; Chordata; Mammalia; Rodentia; Sciuridae. The record is from RNAcentral.